This 406-nucleotide ribosomal RNA is filed under the name uncultured bacterium. Its description in RNAcentral is "partial 16S ribosomal RNA". It matches the Rfam family "Bacterial small subunit ribosomal RNA", at positions 29 to 526 of the family's 1533-position model. The record is from RNAcentral.
AUUGAACGCUGGCGGCAGGCCUAACACAUGCAAGUCGAGCGAGCGGCGGACGGGGGAGUAAUGUUUGGGAAACUGCCUGAUGGAGGGGGAUAACUCCUGGAAAAGGUAGCAAAUACCGCAUACCAUCAGCUGUGCCCAGAGUGGCUUAGGUAGUAGGCGGGGUAAGGGCGCACCGAGGCGACGCUCCCUAGCUGGUCUGAGAGGAUGACCAGCCACACUUGAACUGAGACAGGGUCCAGACUCCUACGGUAGGCAGCAGUGUGGAAUAUGGCACAAUGGGCGCAAGCCUGAUGCAGCCAUGCCGCGGGUGUGAAGAAGGCCUUCGGGUUGUAAAGCACUUUCAGCGGGAAGGCGUUACCCGCAGAAGAAGCACCGGCUAACUCCGUGCCAGCAGCCGCGGUAAUUC